CAAAUUCUUCGGGGCAAGGUGAAAUUCCUUACCGGCGGUGAGCAGGAAACUGUAAGUCCGUGACCCGAUCUUUAAGCAAAUGAAAGUUUCAGGCAUCCCCGCCUGGGCUUUUGCAUCGUCCAGUUCCGGCAUUCGCCGGUUCCGGACAGGCACAUUUGCUGGCAGUAAAGAGCGGUGGAGCUGGUGAAAAUCCGGCACCGACAGUGAAAGUCUGGAUGGGAGAAGAAUUUG
Molecule: regulatory RNA element, 231 nt
Organism: Planomicrobium sp.
Lineage: Bacteria; Bacillati; Bacillota; Bacilli; Caryophanales; Caryophanaceae
Rfam family: FMN riboswitch aptamer (RFN element)
About the family: The RFN element is a highly conserved domain that is found frequently in the 5'-untranslated regions of prokaryotic mRNAs that encode for flavin mononucleotide (FMN) biosynthesis and transport proteins. This element is a metabolite-dependent riboswitch that directly binds FMN in the absence of proteins.
Source: Rfam